RNAcentral lists this long non-coding RNA (343 nucleotides) under Helianthus annuus (common sunflower). Its description in RNAcentral is "hypothetical non coding rna". The record is from RNAcentral. Lineage: Eukaryota; Viridiplantae; Streptophyta; Magnoliopsida; Asterales; Asteraceae.
UUCGAUCUCAAACGCACGAUGACAUUUCUUCAUAUUCUGUUUCAGAUUCGACAUCAAACGCACGAUGACAACAGGUGAAAUCUCAGAGAAAAGUUGGUAAUUUGAAGGAAUCAGUGAAUCAUCUGAAAUGUGGUCAAUUUGAAGGAAUAAUACCAGAUAGGUUGCUGUGAAAAAGUAUGCUCUGAAGAUUGCUGUGAAGAUUUUGUGCUUCCAUGCUAACACGUUUCGUGAUAGAAGUAAUGGCUGGAUCGGUAGCAUACAACAUGGCGAGUAGGCUUAGUUUUUAAAACGUUCCAUGCAAACAAUAGUAGUAAAGACUAUGUUUUUGCUUUUCCGAUAUGUG